GUUUUCAUAUCGCGGCCACACACGAAGAAUAAAGGAUGGAUAAUUAUAUCAAAAGGCAUAUGAAAGAAAACGACGAUUUUUUCAGGAAUACGUUAGAGCGGAUUUUUGAAAAGUAUUCCAGAGUUGAUGGCUCGGGAGUGUUAGUGUGUUUGCAGUCCAUGACUUGCCGUACGGAAGAAGGCAUCCGACCUUGGAAUGGAGAAGAGGUUGA
Long non-coding RNA from Conger conger (European conger), 211 nucleotides. RefSeq lists it as uncharacterized. Lineage: Eukaryota; Metazoa; Chordata; Actinopteri; Anguilliformes; Congridae. The transcript is spliced from 3 exons. The record is from RefSeq and is a predicted model, not a curated record.